RNAcentral lists this long non-coding RNA (450 nucleotides) under Brassica napus (rape). RNAcentral describes it as "long non-coding RNA (BNAP_LNC026523)". Lineage: Eukaryota; Viridiplantae; Streptophyta; Magnoliopsida; Brassicales; Brassicaceae. The record is from RNAcentral.
AAGGUGAAAGUGAGUGCUGGAUUAGUAAGUCUUGUCCAAUUGAUGGUCGGUCACAUUAGCAGCAAUUGAUCUUACGAACUAGACUUAAUGGGCCCAGAGAAACCGAUGACAGCCACUACACGUCUUAAAUACAAACAAAAUAGUCCACAAAAGAGAAAGCGCCAGAGAGACACCAAGUCUGGAAAGCCGUGUGAGAAACAUUCUUUGAACAUGUGAUUAAGGAGGGAGGAGUACGAAGAUGAGGAUGCAGGCGUGGGACAUGGAAGGGAUGCCUCUAGGGAAGGAGUCCCCAAGUCUCCUUUGCAAAGUAAGCCGUAUUCUUCUUCGCCGUGAAGCAAACACAGUUUUUUUAUUGUUGGGUGCAAAUGUUAGAAGCAAACAAAGUUGUUUUGGGUCAAAGUGCAAACACAGAUUUUAACCGAACAGAGGGAUACACAAGCAAGCUCGAAG